This 379-nucleotide ribosomal RNA is filed under the name uncultured bacterium. Its description in RNAcentral is "bacterial SSU rRNA". It matches the Rfam family "Bacterial small subunit ribosomal RNA", at positions 434 to 793 of the family's 1533-position model. The record is from RNAcentral.
CAGUCGUGAGGAAGGCGGCGUCGUUAAUAGCGGCGUUGUUUGACGUUAGCGACAGAAGAAAGCACCGGCUAACUCCGUGCCAGCAGCCGCGGUAAUACGGAGGGUGCGAGCGUUAAUCGGAAUUACUGGGACGUAAAGCGCAUGCAGGUGGUUUGUUAAGUCAGAUGUGAAAGGACCCGGGGCGUCAACCUACGGUAAGUUGCUAUUUAGUAAACGUAGGCAGACUAGAGUACUGUAGAGGGGGGUAGGAAUUUCAGGUGUAGCGGUGAAAAUGCGUAGAGAUCUGAAGGAAUACCGGUGGCGAAGGCGGCCCCCUGGACAGAUACUGACACUCAGAUGCGAAAGCGUGGGGAGCAAACAGGAUUAGAUACCCUGGUAG